GAGUUUGAUCAUGGCUCAGGAUGAACGCUAGCGGCAGGCUUAACACAUGCAAGUCGAGGGGUAAAUAUAGCAAUAUAUGAGACCGGCAAAACGGGUGCGGAACACGUACUGAACCUACCUUGGUCUGGGGCAUAGCCCGAAGAAAAUUCGGAUUAACUCCCCAUAGUAUUAGAUUGUGGCAUCACAGACUAAUUAAAAAAUUUAUUGGACCAGGAUGGCAGUGCGUCCCAUUAGCUAGUUGGUAGGGUAACGGCCUACCAAGGCGACGAUGGGUAGCUGGUGUGAGAGCACGACCAGCCACACGGGCACUGAGACACGGGCCCGACUCCUACGGGAGGCAGCAGUGAGGAAUAUUGGUCAAUGGACGCAAGUCUGAACCAGCCAUGCCGCGUG
RNAcentral lists this ribosomal RNA (393 nucleotides) under uncultured Sphingobacterium sp. RNAcentral's name for it is "bacterial SSU rRNA". It matches the Rfam family "Bacterial small subunit ribosomal RNA", at positions 9 to 403 of the family's 1533-position model. The record is from RNAcentral. Lineage: Bacteria; Pseudomonadati; Bacteroidota; Sphingobacteriia; Sphingobacteriales; Sphingobacteriaceae.